GCGAACGCUGGCGGCGUGCUUAACGCAUGCCAGUCGAACGGAAAGGCCCUGCUUUUGUGGGGUGCUCGAGUGGCGAACGGGUGAGUAACACGUGAGUAACCUGCCCUUGACUUUGGGAUAACUUCAGGAAACUGGGGCUAAUACCGGAUAGGAGCUCCUGCUGCAUGGUGGGGGUUGGAAAGUUUCGGCGGUUGGGGAUGGACUCGCGGCUUAUCAGCUUGUUGGUGGGGUAGUGGCUUACCAAGGCUUUGACGGGUAGCCGGCCUGAGAGGGUGACCGGCCACAUUGGGACUGAGAUACGGCCCAGACUCCUACGGGAGGCAGCAGUGGGGAAUAUUGCACAAUGGGCGGAAGCCUGAUGCAGCAACGCCGCGUGCGGGAUGACGGCCUUCGGGUUGUAAACCGCUUUCGCCUGUGACGAAGCGUGAGUGACGGUAAUGGGUAAAGAAGCACCGGCUAACUACGUG
Molecule: ribosomal RNA, 467 nt
Filed under: uncultured bacterium
Lineage: Bacteria
Description: partial 16S ribosomal RNA
Rfam family: Bacterial small subunit ribosomal RNA
Source: RNAcentral